This 1336-nucleotide ribosomal RNA is filed under the name uncultured bacterium. RNAcentral's name for it is "bacterial SSU rRNA". It matches the Rfam family "Bacterial small subunit ribosomal RNA", at positions 28 to 1381 of the family's 1533-position model. The record is from RNAcentral.
GACGAACGCUGGCGGCGCGCCUAACACAUGCAAGUCGAACGAGAGAAAGGGAGCUUUGCUUUCUCAAUCGAGUGGCGAACGGGUGAGUAACGCGUGAGGAACCUGCCUCAAAGAGGGGGACCACAGUUGGAAACGACUGCUAAUACCGCAUAAGCCCACAGGUCGGCAUCGACCAGAGGGAAAAGGAGCAAUCCGCUUUUGAGAUGGCCUCGCGUCCGAUUAGCUAGUUGGUGAGGUAACGGCCCACCAAGGCAACGAUCGGUAGCCGGACUGAGAGGUUGAACGGCCACAUUGGGACUGAGACACGGCCCAGACUCCUACGGGAGGCAGCAGUGGGGAAAUAUUGCACAAUGGGGGAAACCCUGAUGCAGCGACGCCGCGUGGAGGAAGAAGGUCUUCGGAUUGUAAACUCCUGUUGUUGAGGAAGAUAAUGACGGUACUCAACAAGGAAGUGACGGCUAACUACGUGCCAGCAGCCGCGGUAAAACGUAGGUCACAAGCGUUGUCCGGAAUUACUGGGUGUAAAGGGAGCGCAGGCGGGAAGACAAGUUGGAAGUGAAAUCUAUGGGCUCAACCCAUAAACUGCUUUCAAAACUGUUUUUUCUUGAGUAGUGCAGAGGUAGGCGGAAUUCCCGGUGUAGCGGUGGAAUGCGUAGAUAUCGGGAGGAACACCAGUGGCGAAGGCGGCCUACUGGGCACCAACUGACGCUGAGGCUCGAAAGUGUGGGUAGCAAACAGGAUUAGAUACCCUGGUAGUCCACACCGUAAACGAUGAUUACUAGGUGUUGGAGGAUUGACCCCUUCAGUGCCGCAGUUAACACAAUAAGUAAUCCACCUGGGGAGUACGACCGCAAGGUUGAAACUCAAAGGAAUUGACGGGGGCCCGCACAAGCAGUGGAGUAUGUGGUUUAAUUCGACGCAACGCGAAGAACCUUACCAAGUCUUGACAUCCUGCGACGCACAUAGAAAUAUGUGUUUCCUUCGGGACGCAAAGACAGGUGGUGCAUGGUUGUCGUCAGCUCGUGUCGUGAGAUGUUGGGUUAAGUCCCGCAACGAGCGCAACCCUUACUGUCAGUUACUACGCAAGAGGACUCUGGCAGGACUGCCGUUGACAAAACGGAGGAAGGUGGGGAUGACGUCAAAUCAUCAUGCCCUUUAUGACUUGGGCUACACACGUACUACAAUGGCGUUAAACAAAGAGAAGCAAGACCGCGAGGUGGAGCAAAACUCAGAAACAACGUCCCAGUUCGGACUGCAGGCUGCAACUCGCCUGCACGAAGUCGGAAUUGCUAGUAAUCGUGGAUCAGCAUGCCACGGUGAAUACGUUCCCGGGCCU